GUAUGGGUUUUUCUGUCUUGUCAGUCUUGUACUGAUCGGUGACUCAAUUUAUUGUGGACUGAAACCCAUAUAACUCAGAUGAUACCAAGUCAUUCCGGACAAUAUUUAAAACCCUGGUAUCGAUACACUACUAAACCUUUUUGCAUUACUGUAUUACUAUAUGCAUAUCACAGAUAUUUGGUUGCGAAGGUUGCGGUGCCUACCAUAUUGUGUCCUUAUGUGUGUAGGCUCAAUCAGAUGGGUUUGUGAAAGAACGGGCAAUGCUUUAGGCGCCUGGUAUUUCAGUUUUAGGAAGCUGACAAGUCUAAGUCUUUUAUCUGAUUUCUAAAUGCUUUGUGCAAUUCAAUGCCUUCAGGUUCUUGCACAGGACAACCAGCGUGAAAUUGUGGAAUUCUGCAUUAAGGCUUGGUUCUUCACAGCACAUGGAUUUGGGCUACUAGACUGAAUCCCAUGGAGGGGAAUUCUCAUACCUUCAUGCCAUGAUGAAAAGGAUAUUCAACUAAUGAUAGCGCAGGUUAAAAGAGUUGGGAAUCAAAUACAAGUUCUCUCACUUCUCCAUCCCGAUGUUGCUCUUGUUAGAAGGCUGCCUUUUGAAUGAUAGAGACAGAGCAAUGUCUAUGGGUUUGGAGUUUUGCUGCUGGAGCUCUUAACUGGGCUGAAACCUUUUGACAGGUUACUGAAACCAACCAAGAUUCCAAACCCCGCCCUUCUUCAACCUUAGUUGCAGGAUCCUUGUAAUAGGUGCCGCUCCCGCUUCGAAUCAUGCUUCAGACUCGUGUUCAUGUCCCACUUCCUAGACAUUUACACUUGAUAACAUUUGCGGACAGACGCUUCCCUGCUCUUACAUCUGAAUCUGUUGUCUCGCUUGCCUCACGCUUCGUGCAACCAUAUUUCCGCCACGCCACCAGUCUAUGAAAAGAUACUCUUGCUUGGUCUUGCUUAAUUAUAUUCAGAAAGUUCAAAAAAUUGUACUGGAUGCAUUUAUAGAAAUCAUAAUACUCGCAAAGUACAAAUGGUUGAAGUUGCCAUCAGUGAAAGUCUAACCGGUCUUUGAUAUGGAGGAAUGUUAUAAACGUUGAUGGUCAAUGUUAUGUUGAAUGUAAUUUGAGAAUGUGUUCCCAAACUUAUAUUUGAUUCCUUUCCUUG
Magnolia sinica is the source of this 1146-nucleotide long non-coding RNA. RefSeq lists it as uncharacterized. Lineage: Eukaryota; Viridiplantae; Streptophyta; Magnoliopsida; Magnoliales; Magnoliaceae. The transcript has 4 exons. The record is from RefSeq and is a predicted model, not a curated record.